CCUUGUGGAGGAGGACGCCGAAGGUGGGGCUAAUGACUGGGGUGAAGUCGUAACAAGGUAGCCGUACCGGAAGGUGCGGCUGGAUCACCUCCUAACAGGGAGACAACAAAAUGUUUAAUAUUAUUUUGUCACCUUAGGUCGAUCGGUAUCUCACAUCCUUAAAUUUUUGAGGAUUUUAUUUCCUAAGUUUUUUCUAGGUCACACCCAUUAUUUUUCCUGGGCCAUUAGCUCAGGUGGUUAGAGCGCACCCCUGAUAAGGGUGAGGUCCCUGGUUCAAGUCCAGGAUGGCCCAUAUCUCUAUGUUGGGGGUAUAGCUCAGUUGGUAGAGCGCCUGCUUUGCAAGCAGGAUGUCAGCGGUUCGAGUCCGCUUACCUCCACUGAUCACCACCUCUUUCAUAUUUUGAAGAAAGGAAAUGUUUUGAGUUGUGAUCAAAUUCUGAACGAAUCUAGCUUCCUAAUGAGCAUCAUUAAGAUGCUGGACUCAUUGAAUUAAUUUCAUUGUUUUCAGAGAACCUUGACAACUGCAUAGAUUAUUUUUAAAGACAAUAAGCAUCUUUAAUGAUGCAGAUUUAUUAUUUGUGCAAAUGCAUUAAUAACAAUUCUAUUAAGCUGAUGCUUCAAUUUUGAAGUUAUUGGUCAAGCUACAAAGGGCUCACGGAGGAUACCUAGGCACACAGA
Molecule: unclassified non-coding RNA, 678 nt
Filed under: uncultured Prochlorococcus sp.
Lineage: Bacteria; Bacillati; Cyanobacteriota; Cyanophyceae; Synechococcales; Prochlorococcaceae
Description: partial may contain 16S ribosomal RNA, 16S-23S ribosomal RNA intergenic spacer, and 23S ribosomal RNA
Rfam family: Bacterial small subunit ribosomal RNA (bases 1-95)
Source: RNAcentral